RNAcentral lists this ribosomal RNA (420 nucleotides) under uncultured bacterium. Its description in RNAcentral is "bacterial SSU rRNA". It matches the Rfam family "Bacterial small subunit ribosomal RNA", at positions 362 to 775 of the family's 1533-position model. The record is from RNAcentral.
UCUUCCGCAAUGGGCGAAAGCCUGACGGAGCAACGCCGCGUGAGUGAUGAAGGUUUUCGGAUCGUAAAGCUCUGUUGCCAGGGAAGAACGUCUUGGAGAGUAACUGCUCUGAGAGUGACGGUACCUGAGAAGAAAGCCCCGGCUAACUACGUGCCAGCAGCCGCGGUAAUACGUAGGGGGCAAGCGUUGUCCGGAAUUAUUGGGCGUAAAGCGCGCGCAGGCGGCCGUUUAAGUCCGGUGUUUAAUCCCGAAGCUCAACUUCGGGUCGCACUGGAAACUGGAGGGCUUGAGUGCAGAAGAGGAGAGUGGAAUUCCACGUGUAGCGGUGAAAUGCGUAGAGAUGUGGAGGAACACCAGUGGCGAAGGCGACUCUCUGGGCUGUAACUGACGCUGAGGCGCGAAAGCGUGGGGAGCAAACAG